Molecule: ribosomal RNA, 314 nt
Filed under: unidentified
Description: Platyura pectoralis partial 12S ribosomal RNA
Source: RNAcentral
UUAAAAAUUAAAUUUAAAAAUUAGAGUAGUAAUAGUUAUGUUCUAAAAACUUAAAAAAUUUGGCGGUAUUUUAAUCUAAUCAGAGGAAUCUGUUUUAUAAUUGAUAUUCCACAUUAAAUCUUACUUAAUUUUAUUAAUAUGUAUAUCGUCGUCAUAAGAUUAUUUUUAAAAAAUAAAUAAUUUUCUUAAUAAAAAAAUUUUUAAUAUGUCAGAUCAAGGUGCAGUUUAUAAUUAAGAAAAUAAUGGAUUACAAUAAAUUUAUUUAUAUGGAUUUUAUAUUUAAAAAUAUAAAUUAAAGUGGAUUUGAUAGUAAA